This 694-nucleotide long non-coding RNA is filed under the name Mytilus galloprovincialis (Mediterranean mussel). Lineage: Eukaryota; Metazoa; Mollusca; Bivalvia; Mytilida; Mytilidae. The record is from RNAcentral.
UUAAAUUAUUCUUACAUUAUUCUGAUCUUUGUCUGAAUGCUAUUCUGUUUUUUGUCUAAAUGUUCGUAUGACAAUUUUGAAUUUUUCCUUAAAAGUCCGAAAUCCAGCAAAAAUUCAGACAUUUUCGUAAAUGUACAUUAUUUUAGCCAUUCAGACAUUAUUCAGAAAAAAAUAAGAAAAAAUAAGAAUGCUGGUCAGACAGAAUUCAGACGCAAUUUUUUCAUGAGGGAGCUCUUAAAUGAUGAUUUUUGCCAUUUUUUUGCAUUUUAGUCUAAUAUAUUGAUAACUAUGAAAGAUAGAUAGACACUUUAAAUAGCAAAAAUGGUAAGCAAGAAGAGAUCUGCAAAUAAGUCAAAGUAUGCCGAAAUUGUGAGUUGACUCUUUAUAGGAGUUUUUGCACUUAAAUGACAAUUUUUUUCACCCUUUCUUAUGUUUUGGGCAAACACUGAAUAUAGAGAUGAAAUGUAAACAGAAAAAAAAUAUCAGCAAUAGAAGAUCAACAAAACGAUUUUUGUCAUGAAUUAUAUUAUAGUGUACAAUGUUGAAGAGUGUCCAUUGUUGACAUAGACCUAGGUAAUGAAGGACACAGGCUCUUUAGAGCCUUUAGAUAUAUUAGCAAUGACACCAAUUAUAUUUGUUUUUAGUCACAUUGACAUGAGGUCAGUGUCUCUAUCAUACUAUGUGUUGAGAGGGG